GACGAACGCUGGCGGCGUGCUUAACACAUGCAAGUCGAACGGAAAGGCCCUGCUUUUGUGGGGUGCUCGAGUGGCGAACGGGUGAGUAACACGUGAGUAACCCCCCCCUGUCUGUCUGGUAACUUCAGGAAACUGGGGCUAAUACCGCAUAGGAGCUACUGCUGCAUGGGGGUGGAUGGAGAGUGUCGGCUGUUGUGGAUAGACUCGCUGCUUAUCAGCUUGUUUGUCGAGUAGUUGCUUACCACGGCUUUGACGGGUAGCCGGCCUGAGAGCGUGGCCGGCGUCCUUGGGCCUGCGAUAGGGAGCAGAAUCGUACCGUCGGCAGCAGUCGAAAAUCUUGCGCAAUGGGCGGGCGCCUGAUGCAGCAGCGCCGCGUUCGGAAUGCCGGCCUUUGGGUUGUGAACCGAUUUGGAAUGUGCCGAGGCGUGAGUGACGGUACCGAGUCAAGAAGCCCCGGCUAACUACGUG
RNAcentral lists this ribosomal RNA (468 nucleotides) under uncultured bacterium. RNAcentral's name for it is "partial 16S ribosomal RNA". It matches the Rfam family "Bacterial small subunit ribosomal RNA", at positions 28 to 507 of the family's 1533-position model. The record is from RNAcentral.